AUGAGCGUCAUUGCCUAAAGUCGUGUGGAAGACUGAUCUUUUACAUCAGUCAUUUAAAUUUGGAUCCAUUUCAUGGCUUGUUUACUUGGUAAUCGUAAUAAAUUCCGUAAGUGCAGUUGUUGGAGACGCAGUCCAAAUGAGUCCCAUUUCUAAAAUCGUCCACGCUGCCAUUGCUCCGCAUAUUAUAGCAACAAAGGCGUAAGAGAGGCUCGUGAUACAAAUGGCAAGGAUUGUACCUUUAG
Long non-coding RNA from Daphnia carinata, 242 nucleotides. RefSeq lists it as uncharacterized. The transcript is spliced from 2 exons. NCBI's taxonomy places the organism in Eukaryota, Metazoa, Arthropoda, Branchiopoda, Diplostraca, Daphniidae. The record is from RefSeq and is a predicted model, not a curated record.